This 253-nucleotide ribosomal RNA is filed under the name uncultured bacterium. RNAcentral's name for it is "partial 16S ribosomal RNA". It matches the Rfam family "Bacterial small subunit ribosomal RNA", at positions 524 to 776 of the family's 1533-position model. The record is from RNAcentral.
UACGGAGGAUGCAAGCGUUAUCCGGAAUGAUUGGGCGUAAAGCGUCCGCAGGUGGCUAUGUAAGUCUGCUGUUAAAGAGUGAGGCUCAACCUCAUAAGAGCAGUGGAAACUACAUGGCUAGAGUGCGUUCGGGGCAGAGGGAAUUCCUGGUGUAGCGGUGAAAUGCGUAGAGAUCGGGAAGAACACCAACGGCGAAAGCACUCUGCUGGGCCGAAACUGACACUAAGAGACGAAAGCUAGGGGAGCAAAUGGG